GCAUAUCAAUAAGCGGAGGAAAAGAAACCAACAGGGAUUGCCCUAGUAACGGCGAGUGAAGCGGCAACAGCUCAAAUUUGAAAUCUGGCCUUCGGGUCCGAGUUGUAAUUUGUAGAGGAUGCUUUUGGCGCGGUGCCUUCCGAGUUCCCUGGAACGGGACGCCUUAGAGGGUGAGAGCCCCGUACGGUUGGACACCAAGCCUCUGUAAAGCUCCUUCGACGAGUCGAGUAGUUUGGGAAUGCUGCUCUAAAUGGGAGGUAAAUUUCUUCUAAAGCUAAAUACCGGCCAGAGACCGAUAGCGCACAAGUAGAGUGAUCGAAAGAUGAAAAGCACUUUGAAAAGAGGGUUAAAUAGCACGUGAAAUUGUUGAAAGGGAAGCGUUUACGGCCAGACCUUUUCCUGGCGGAUCAUCUGGUGUUCUCACCAGUGCACUCCGCCAGGUUUAGGCCAGCAUCGGCUCCCGUAGGGGGAUAAAAGCAGUGGGAAAGUAGCUCCCUCGGGAGUGUUAUAGCCCGCUGCACAAUACCCUUACAGGGGCCGAGGACCGCGCUUUUGCAAGGAUGCUGGCGUAAUGGUCGUCAACGACCCGUCUUGAAACACGGACCAAGGAGUCGAACAUUUGUGCGAGUGUUUGGGUGUCAAACCCUCACGCGUAAUGAAAGUGAACGGAGGUGAGAGCCCUCUAGGGGGUGCAUCAUCGACCGAUCCUGAUGUCUUCGGAUGGAUUUGAGUAAGAGCAUAACUGUUCGGACCCGAAAGAUGGUGAACUAUGCGUGGAUAGGGUGAAGCCAGAGGAAACUCUGGUGGAGGCUCGCAGCGGUUCUGACGUGCAAAUCGAUCGUCAAAUCUGCGCAUGGGGGCGAAAGACUUAUCGAACCAUCUAGUAGCUGGUUACCGCCGA
RNAcentral lists this ribosomal RNA (901 nucleotides) under Biscogniauxia mediterranea. Its description in RNAcentral is "LSU rRNA". It matches the Rfam family "Eukaryotic large subunit ribosomal RNA", at positions 38 to 964 of the family's 3401-position model. Lineage: Eukaryota; Fungi; Ascomycota; Sordariomycetes; Xylariales; Xylariaceae. The record is from RNAcentral.